RNAcentral lists this ribosomal RNA (403 nucleotides) under uncultured bacterium. Its description in RNAcentral is "bacterial SSU rRNA". It matches the Rfam family "Bacterial small subunit ribosomal RNA", at positions 362 to 758 of the family's 1533-position model. The record is from RNAcentral.
UAUUGCACAAUGGGCGCAAGCCUGAUGCAGCCAUGCCGCGUGUGUGAAGAAGGCCUUCGGGUUGUAAAGCACUUUCAGUCAGGAGGAAAGGUUAGUAGUUAAUACCUGCUAGCUGUGACGUUACUGACAGAAGAAGCACCGGCUAACUCCGUGCCAGCAGCCGCGGUAAUACGGAGGGUGCGAGCGUUAAUCGGAAUUACUGGGCGUAAAGCGUACGCAGGCGGUUUGUUAAGCGAGAUGUGAAAGCCCCGGGCUCAACCUGGGAACUGCAUUUCGAACUGGCAAACUAGAGUGUGAUAGAGGGUGGUAGAAUUUCAGGUGUAGCGGUGAAAUGCGUAGAGAUUUGAAGGAAUACCGAUGGCGAAGGCAGCCACCUGGAUCAACACUGACGCUCAUUACGAAG